CAAGACACUUCUUUGGAUUCAGUUGGAAUGUUGCUUCCAGGUCUGGGCAAUGUGCUUUAAGAAGGAUGUGCAAUCUUUGGAAAGAAUGCAGAAAGGAUUCACAAGAAUGGUUCCCGGGAUGAGGAACUGCAGUCAUGAAGCUAGAUUGGAGAAGUUAGUAUAAUUUUCCUUGGAGAAGAGGAGAUUGAUCUUCUCUGGCUGCAGAUACUAUUACACAGGCACCGGAAAACCAUUGGCUUCCAACUCAGUGGCAGUGACAGCAUCAGCGGUGGCAAGUGCGCCCAGCGUGGAUUCGAGUCAGCCCAGUACGGACUUGUGGCAAUGGCUACAGAACAUGCCGAACAAGCCAGACAUUGAAAAUUCUUGAUAUGGAUGUCAGAAAACUCAUCGACUUUAGCUCGCUGCUUGCCUCAAAGGAUCUCAUUGCACAGCUGCCACACACACACCAUUUAUCCUCACUGAACCUGAAGAAGGAGCGAGACUCUGAAAGCUUGUGUCUUCAAAUUAAACCUGUUGGACUAUAACCUGGUGCCUUGUGAUUUUUGACCUUGUGAAUGCUUGGCAUUCACCGUGUACCAGCCUCUGACAACCCUUAUGGCACAUAUCUAAUUCACCUACAGGACCGCUUCCGACACUAACUCACUCAGAGCCUACUGGCUGCUCACAGCAUCCACACUUUGCCUUUUUGCAUUUUUUGCUCCUCAGCC
Rhincodon typus (whale shark) is the source of this 707-nucleotide long non-coding RNA. RefSeq lists it as uncharacterized. The record is from RefSeq and is a predicted model, not a curated record. The transcript is spliced from 4 exons. NCBI's taxonomy places the organism in Eukaryota, Metazoa, Chordata, Chondrichthyes, Orectolobiformes, Rhincodontidae.